UACGAAGGGGGGCUAGCGUUGCUCGGAAUCACUGGGCGUAAAGCGCACGUAGGCGGUUUCUUAAGUCAGGGGUGAAAUCCCGGAGCUCAACUCCGGAACUGCCUUUGAUACUGGGAGACUUGAGUUCGGGAGAGGUGAGUGGAACUGCGAGUGUAGAGGUGAAAUUCGUAGAUAUUCGGAAGAACACCAGUGGCGAAGGCGGCUCACUGGCCCGGUACUGACGCUCAGGUGCGAAAGCGUGGGGAGCAAACAGG
RNAcentral lists this ribosomal RNA (254 nucleotides) under uncultured bacterium. RNAcentral's name for it is "partial 16S ribosomal RNA". It matches the Rfam family "Bacterial small subunit ribosomal RNA", at positions 524 to 776 of the family's 1533-position model. The record is from RNAcentral.